RNAcentral lists this ribosomal RNA (497 nucleotides) under uncultured bacterium. RNAcentral's name for it is "partial 16S ribosomal RNA". It matches the Rfam family "Bacterial small subunit ribosomal RNA", at positions 28 to 507 of the family's 1533-position model. The record is from RNAcentral.
GAUGAACGCUGGCGGCGUGCCUAAUACAUGCAAGUCGAGCGAACAGAUAAGGGGCUUGCUCCUUUGACGUUAGCGGCGGACGGGUGAGUAACACGUGGGUAACCUAUCUAUAAGACUGGAAUAACUCCGGGAAACCGGGGCUAAUGCCGGAUAACAUGUUGAACCGCAUGGUUCUACAGUGAAAGGCGGCUUUGCUGUCACUUAUAGAUGGACCCGCGCCGUAUUAGCUAGUUGGUGAGGUAACGGCUCACCAAGGCAACGAUACGUAGCCGACCUGAGAGGGUGAUCGGCCACACUGGAACUGAGACACGGUCCAGACUCCUACGGGAGGCAGCAGUAGGGAAUCUUCCGCAAUGGGCGAAAGCCUGACGGAGCAACGCCGCGUGAGUGAUGAAGGUCUUCGGAUCGUAAAACUCUGUUAUUAGGGAAGAACAAAUGCGUAAGUAACUGUGCGCGUCUUGACGGUACCUAAUCAGAAAGCCACGGCUAACUACGUG